This 61-nucleotide ribosomal RNA is filed under the name Anaeroplasmataceae bacterium. RNAcentral's name for it is "partial 16S ribosomal RNA". It matches the Rfam family "Bacterial small subunit ribosomal RNA", at positions 1 to 61 of the family's 1533-position model. Lineage: Bacteria; Bacillati; Mycoplasmatota; Mollicutes; Anaeroplasmatales; Anaeroplasmataceae. The record is from RNAcentral.
AAAAUGGAGAGUUUGAUCCUGGCUCAGGAUUAACGCUGGCGGCGUGCCUAAUACAUGCAAG